Molecule: long non-coding RNA, 787 nt
Organism: Notechis scutatus (mainland tiger snake)
Lineage: Eukaryota; Metazoa; Chordata; Lepidosauria; Squamata; Elapidae
Product: hemogen
Source: Ensembl
CAUGUCCAUGGCAGAUAAGAUGUGUAGGGCGGGUAAUCUUUUUCCCCUCUCCGUUUUGGAAACUCUUUUUGCACUAAACCAUUAGAUGCGUUACAUGAUCCUACGGUGGAGCUCAGCUCCUUUUUCUAUAUAAAUAUUAAAAUAAACUGUUACAGAUGGCAAGUUUAGAAAAGGAUCAUUCAUACUCUGAAAUCCCACAGCAGCCAGAGGCUACACCUGAAGAAUAUGCAGUUGCAGAUGUUGGCAUUUCACACCGUUUGAGAGAUCGAGAACUUCUCAGAAAAAGAAGAGCAGAAGCAGAAGAAAAAGAUAUUCAACAGGAGCAAAAGAGACACAAGCGAGCACGGAAAGGAAGAGCAACUGGAAGGGGCCGGGGCCGGCAUCAGGCUCCACAACCAGAACCACAACCAGAAUUGCAGUCAGAGGAAGCUGAGAGUCAUGAAACACAGGUAGCCGCAGUGGAGGAGAAAGCUGAAGUCACUCAUGGACUCCCUGAAGAAUGCUCUGUCCCUCUGGUGGUAACGGAAGGGCUGUAUUCCCAAGAGGAAAUAACUCCGUCUGUUUUCACAUGUGCUCAUCAACCAGGAAUAGAGGAGACACCAAGACCAGAAGGAUCAGAGGAGCCUCAGUCUUUGGAAAAUGAUCACUUGGAGCAAGAUUUAUUUGGCUUUUAAUUGAAAAGUUGCUUGUGGAUAAUAAUUAUUCCUAUUCAAUGUGGAAAAGUUGUUAGACUUACAUGGUACCUGUCAUUCUUGUGUGAGCAAUAAAAAAAAUCUGGAGGCCUUUG